CCUGCACACACACAUGCGCGCGCGCACGCACAGCAUUGAAAGAAAGAAAAAGAAAAAGAUAAAAACAAAACGAAACGAAAAGAAAUUUCGGGCAGAUUUUCUUCAGAUUUUUUUUCUGCGUAUUUUUUGCGCUUAUUUGCGUCAACAAUAACAUGUAUUAAUACAAUCAGGCCUCAGAGGCGGCAGCCAAGGGCGAGACACAUCGCACCUUUUAUUGUUAUACUUGUUCAUAUUUUGU
RNAcentral lists this non-coding RNA (238 nucleotides) under uncultured eukaryote. The record is from RNAcentral.